GAUGAACGCUGGCGGCGUGCCUAAUACAUGCAAGUCGAGCGAACAGACGAGGAGCUUGCUCCUCUGACGUUAGCGGCGGACGGGUGAGUAACACGUGGAUAACCUACCUAUAAGACUGGGAUAACUUCGGGACACCGGAGCUAAUACCGGAUAAUAUAUUGAACCGCAUGGUUCAAUAGUGAAAGACGGUUUUGCUGUCACUUAUAGAUGUAUCCGCGCCGCAUUAGCUAGUUGGUAAGGUAACGGCUUACCAAGGCGACGAUGCGUAGCCGACCUGAGAGGGUGAUCGGCCACACUGGAACUGAGACACGGUCCAGACUCCUACGGGAGGCAGCAGUAGGGAAUCUUCCGCAAUGGGCGAAAGCCUGACGGAGCAACGCCGCGUGGGUGAUGAAGGUCUUCGGAUCUUAAAACUCUGUUAUUAGGGAAGAACAAAUGUGUAAGUAACUAUGCACGUCUUGACGGUACCUAAUCAGAAAGCCACGGCUAACUACGUG
Molecule: ribosomal RNA, 497 nt
Filed under: uncultured bacterium
Lineage: Bacteria
Description: partial 16S ribosomal RNA
Rfam family: Bacterial small subunit ribosomal RNA
Source: RNAcentral